CCUACGGGAGGCAGCAGUGGGGGAUCUUGCACAAUGGGGGAAACCCUGAUGCAGCGACGCCGCGUGAGUGAAGAAGUAUUUCGGUAUGUAAAGCUCUAUCAGCAGGGAAGAACAUGACAGUACCUGACCAAGAAGCACCGUCUAACUACGUGCCCGCAGCCGCGGUUAUAAGUAGGGGGCAAGCGGUAUCCGGAUUUAAUGGGUGCAAAGGGAGCGUAGACGGUUAUGUAAGUCUGGAGUGAAAGCCCGGGGGCCAAGCCCGGGACUGCUUUGGAAACUGUGUAACUGGAGUACAGGAGGGGCAGGCGGAAUUCCUGGUGUAGCGGUGAAAUGCGUAGAUAUCAGGAGGAACACCGGCGGCGAAGGCGGCCUGCUGGACUGAAACUGACGUUGAGGCUCGAAAGCGUGGGGAGCAAACAGGAUUAGAUACCCUUGUAGUC
Molecule: ribosomal RNA, 440 nt
Filed under: uncultured bacterium
Lineage: Bacteria
Description: partial 16S ribosomal RNA
Rfam family: Bacterial small subunit ribosomal RNA
Source: RNAcentral